UACGGAGGAUCCAAGCGUUAUCCGGAAUCAUUGGGUUUAAAGGGUCCGUAGGCGGUUUAGUAAGUCAGUGGUGAAAGCCCAUCGCUCAACGGUGGAACGGCCAUUGAUACUGCUAGACUUGAAUUACUAGGAAGUAACUAGAAUAUGUAGUGUAGCGGUGAAAUGCUUAGAGAUUACAUGGAAUACCAAUUGCGAAGGCAGGUUACUACUAGUGGAUUGACGCUGAUGGACGAAAGCGUGGGGAGCGAACAGG
RNAcentral lists this ribosomal RNA (253 nucleotides) under uncultured prokaryote. RNAcentral describes it as "partial 16S ribosomal RNA". It matches the Rfam family "Bacterial small subunit ribosomal RNA", at positions 524 to 776 of the family's 1533-position model. The record is from RNAcentral.